CUGUAAAGAAAAGAGAUAUUUUCGUCUAUUAACUUCCUGUGCAUGAAAACUUUUUAUUGUUGUUGCAGGCAAAAGUAAAAUUUGUGGUUACUUUGUGUGUCUGUGUGCGUGUGUGUGUGUGUGUGUGUGUGUGUGUGAGAGAGAGAGAGAGAGUGCAGCAACCAGUGCUGUUGUUGUUGCUAUCAGCAUCGUGUUGCUAAUGAUUCAGGCUCAAAACAGA
Non-coding RNA from Podarcis lilfordi (Lilford's wall lizard), 220 nucleotides. The record is from the annotation of a GenBank genome assembly. Lineage: Eukaryota; Metazoa; Chordata; Lepidosauria; Squamata; Lacertidae.